UGAGAACCUUCCCUUCGGUCGGGAAUAGCUCAGGGAAACUUGAGGUAAUACCGGAUACGCCCUAACGGGGAAAGAUUUAUCGCCGUUGGAUGGGCCCGCGUCGGAUUAGCUUGUUGGUGAGGUAAUGGCUCACCAAGGCGACGACGGGUAGCCGGCCUGAGAGGGUGACCGGCCACACUGGGACUGAGACACGGCCCAGACUCCUACGGGAGGCAG
This 216-nucleotide ribosomal RNA is filed under the name uncultured bacterium. RNAcentral's name for it is "partial 16S ribosomal RNA". It matches the Rfam family "Bacterial small subunit ribosomal RNA", at positions 118 to 351 of the family's 1533-position model. The record is from RNAcentral.